This 235-nucleotide ribosomal RNA is filed under the name uncultured bacterium. RNAcentral's name for it is "partial 16S ribosomal RNA". It matches the Rfam family "Bacterial small subunit ribosomal RNA", at positions 123 to 354 of the family's 1533-position model. The record is from RNAcentral.
AACCUGCCGCAUGCAGGGGGAUACCGGCUGGAAACAGCCGCUAAUACCGCAUAUGCGCACAGCGCCGCAUGGCGCAGUGCGGAAAGGGAGCAAUCCCGGCAUGCGAUGGGUCCGCGUCCGAUUAGCUUGUUGGCGGGGCAGCGGCCCACCAAGGCGACGAUCGGUAGCCGGCCUGAGAGGGCGGACGGCCACAUUGGGACUGAGACACGGCCUAGACUCCUACGGAAGGCAGCAG